CCCCAUGUUGUCAGUGGUUGGAUUCCCGGCUUUUACCCAGGCGGCCCGGGGUUGAUUCCCGGCGUGGGGA
This is a non-coding RNA of Trichonephila inaurata madagascariensis, 70 nucleotides long. The record is from the annotation of a GenBank genome assembly. Lineage: Eukaryota; Metazoa; Arthropoda; Arachnida; Araneae; Nephilidae.